Molecule: long non-coding RNA, 587 nt
Organism: Octodon degus (degu)
Lineage: Eukaryota; Metazoa; Chordata; Mammalia; Rodentia; Octodontidae
Exons: 3
Source: RefSeq, a predicted model, not a curated record
UGAAGCUAGUCAGUGCCAUUUUGGAAUUGGGCAGGAAGCACCACCCAUCGUAAAACCUCGGGCCAACCAUAUUUAGUUAGCACAUGUGCAUUUAAUCUCACACCACUGCUGGUACCUUGCACUUGCCACUGCAUCUGUGAGAUCAUUCUUGGAUGGUCCCACUCGCCAACUACUGACUGUCUCUCCCUGGGCUGUCCAUGCCCAAACUCACUUAACCAAGAAGCCCAGGGAAUUGCCGUUAUGGAUGGGCCUUCAUCUCCCCCCCAGCAAAACCAGUUCCUCCUUAUUCCCAGGAAUGGAGAGGAUCCAGGAGCCACAGCUUGAGUCUACGUCCGGGCACGCUCCCAUAUGCACUGAACACGUAUUUCCUAAACAUCUGAUACACGUGAGGCGUCGGGCCAGGCGCUGUGAGCGCAACCUGGCGGAGCCGACCUAUGUGGCCCCUCUGUGGGCUGAGGACAAGGGGGGGCGUGACGGAUAUCAGCCCUCGGCCCCCUCCUCCACUUUUCAAAAAUUACUCAGAGCCCUAACAAAAAAAUAAAAGUUGGAUCUUUCACCUUGCCGUAACCACAAAGCAAUUUUUUUUU